This is a long non-coding RNA of Prunus persica (peach), 1208 nucleotides long. RefSeq lists it as uncharacterized. The transcript has 4 exons. The record is from RefSeq and is a predicted model, not a curated record. Lineage: Eukaryota; Viridiplantae; Streptophyta; Magnoliopsida; Rosales; Rosaceae.
UAUACUAUUUAUUUAUUUUUUAUAAAAAAGGACCCGCCUAGCCCGCCUAGGCGGCCCAUUUUUCGAAAACUUGAAUGGCGUGUUUUUUUUUAAAGAUUUCUUUUUUCCUGGCGGGUCUGGCAUCCCUGCAAAUACAUCAAGCUAGGGUUUUAGCGACUCAUGUUUAUCAACAACGUUAAGCUUUUGGAUCCAUAAGAUGGGCAAAAAGAUUAAAUCAAAAACUCCCAGAGAGAUGCAAGAUAAUACAGCUGCUGCAGAAGAGGAAAACCCCUCAUCUUCGGCCAAAAAAUUGCUGAAUCAUUGGUUGAGAUUCAGUUCAGGAACACUUGGAGAGCAAUGAGGGUGAUCCCGAGUUACUUGUUUACAUUCCGCUGCAUCCCUCAAAGAAAAGAUUAACUGAACGUUUGGUGGAGAGCAUGUACGUUUCAAGUUUAUCUUCCUUCGGUCGAGUAUUAUGUGGAUAAAUAUGGAAUUAAAAUGCUAAUUUGAACACUUUUUAUCUGCAAUUAGCGAGAAGUGUUUCCUUUAAAAAAUAUAUAUAUAUAUAUAUAUAUAUAUUUCUGAUCUGGGGGAAGGGAUUACAAUUUGGGACCUCUUCCAACAAAGUGGAGAGAACUAACAGUUGAACAAUAGCUAGUUGGUGUCUCCUAUUUAAAAUUAGGAUGCCCAAAUUGCUGACCUUUUAACUGUCUGAAAUCACAAAAACUUAUAUUUGAUAGCUUUAUAGGAUUUAUGGUAAAGAUGGACCGGCUUAUUUCUGAAACCAUGUUCAUGUGAUUCUUUUGCAUUCUGUUUUUCUUUUUCUGGGUGGUGCCUUCAGAUUAACAGCUCAGAAAAUAGAUCAGUGCUUCAUGUAGCUCUUCAUGCUCCAAGGGAUGCAGUUAUACAGAGUGAUGGGAAAAAUGUGGUCCCAGAUGUUUGGGAAGUUCUGUAAAAGAUCCAAAAGUUUUCUGAGAGUAUUCGAAGUGGAUUUUGGGUAAUCACUACAAUUUUUUUUAGUAUCCAUUUUGGGUCCAUGUUGCCUGAAUUGUGAAGUAAUUGGCAAUUCUGGUAGGUUGGUGCCACAGGAAAAGCCCUGAAGGAUGUCAUUCCAUCUUGUCAAGUUAUAACUCUAUUUUGCAGUCUUGUUUACUAUUUAGUGUGAGUUUCCUUGUGAAAAUGAUUAAGCUUGCUUUGCGAUAAACUUUGGGCUAUACUUUUUAAAUACA